UGGGGAAUAUUGCACAAUGGGGGAAACCCUGAUGCAGCGACGCCGCGUGAGCGAAGAAGGUUUUCGAAUCGUAAAGCUCUGUCCUAUGAGAAGAUAAUGACGGUAUCAUAGGAGGAAGCCCCGGCUAAAUACGUGCCAGCAGCCGCGGUAAUACGUAUGGGGCGAGCGUUGUCCGGAAUUAUUGGGCUUAAAGGGCAUCUAGGCGGUAAGACAAGUUGAAGGUGAAAACCUGUGGCUCAACCAUAGGCUUGCCUACAAAACUGUUGAACUAGAGUACUGGAAAGGUGGGUGGAACUACACGAGUAGAGGUGAAAUUCGUAGAUAUGUGUAGGAAUGCCGAUGAUGAAGAUAACUCACUGGACAGAAACUGACGCUGAAGUGCGAAAGCUAGGGGAGCAAACAGG
RNAcentral lists this ribosomal RNA (404 nucleotides) under Verrucomicrobiota bacterium. RNAcentral describes it as "Verrucomicrobia bacterium partial 16S ribosomal RNA". It matches the Rfam family "Bacterial small subunit ribosomal RNA", at positions 355 to 776 of the family's 1533-position model. Lineage: Bacteria; Pseudomonadati; Verrucomicrobiota. The record is from RNAcentral.